Molecule: ribosomal RNA, 500 nt
Filed under: uncultured bacterium
Lineage: Bacteria
Description: partial 16S ribosomal RNA
Rfam family: Bacterial small subunit ribosomal RNA
Source: RNAcentral
AUUGAACGCUGGCGGCAUGCCUUACACAUGCAAGUCGAACGGCAGCACGGGAGCAAUCCUGGUGGCGAGUGGCGAACGGGUGAGUAAUAUAUCGGAACGUGCACAGACGUGGGGGAUAACGAAGCGAAAGCUGUGCUAAUACCGCAUACGAUCUAUGGAUGAAAGCGGGGGCUCGCAAGACCUCGCGCGAUUGGAGGGGCGGAUAUCAGAUUAUCUAGUUGGUGAGGUAAAGGCUCACCAAGGCGACGAUCUGUAGCUGGUCUGAGAGGACGACAAGGCACACUGGAACUGCUACACGGUCCAGACUCCUACGGGAGGAAGCAGUGGGGAAUUUUGGACAAAGGGCGAGAGCAUGAUCCAGCAAUGCCGAGUGCAGGAUGAAGGCCUUCGUGGUGUAAACUGCUUUUGUACGGAACGUAACGGUGAGCUCAAAUACAGUUUGCUAAUGACGGUACCGUAAGAAGAAGAACCGGCUAACUACGUGCCAGCAGCCGCGGUAA